Molecule: long non-coding RNA, 72 nt
Organism: Amblyraja radiata (thorny skate)
Lineage: Eukaryota; Metazoa; Chordata; Chondrichthyes; Rajiformes; Rajidae
Exons: 3
Source: RefSeq, a predicted model, not a curated record
AGCCUUCAAUCCCCUCAUACAAAUCAUUGAUAGACAAUGUGAAGAGUUGUGGCCCCAGCCCUGUCAAACACA